RNAcentral lists this ribosomal RNA (497 nucleotides) under uncultured bacterium. Its description in RNAcentral is "partial 16S ribosomal RNA". It matches the Rfam family "Bacterial small subunit ribosomal RNA", at positions 28 to 507 of the family's 1533-position model. The record is from RNAcentral.
GAUGAACGCUGGCGGCGUGCCUAAUACAUGCAAGUCGAGCGAACAGAUGAGGAGCUUGCUUCUCUGAUGUUAGCGGCGGACGGGUGAGUAACACGUGGAUAACCUACCUAUAAGACUGGGAUAACUUCGGGAAACCGGAGCUAAUACCGGAUAAUAUAUUGAACCGCAUGGUUCAAUAGUGAAAGACGGUCUUGCUGUCACUUAUAGAUGGAUCCGCGCUGCAUUAGCUAGUUGGUAAGGUAACGGCUUACCAAGGCAACGAUGCGUAGCCGACCUGAGAGGGUGAUCGGCCACACUGGAACUGAGACACGGUCCAGACUCCUACGGGAGGCAGCAGUAGGGAAUCUUCCGCAAUGGGCGAAAGCCUGACGGAGCAACGCCGCGUGAGUGAUGAAGGUCUUCGGAUCGUAAAACUCUGUUAUUAGGGAAGAACAUAUGUGUAAGUAACUGUGCACAUCUUGACGGUACCUAAUCAGAAAGCCACGGCUAACUACGUG